Molecule: ribosomal RNA, 402 nt
Filed under: uncultured bacterium
Lineage: Bacteria
Description: bacterial SSU rRNA
Rfam family: Bacterial small subunit ribosomal RNA
Source: RNAcentral
UGGGGAAUAUUGGGCAAUGGGCGCAAGCCUGACCCAGCCAUGCCGCGUGAGUGACGAAGGCCUUAGGGUUGUAAAGCUCUUUUGGCGGGGACGAUAAUGACGGUACCCGCAGAAUAAGCCCCGGCUAACUUCGUGCCAGCAGCCGCGGUAAUACGAAGGGGGCUAGCGUUGUUCGGAAUCACAGGGCGUAAAGCGCACGUAGGCGGACUUUCAAGUCAGGGGUGAAAUCCCGGGGCUCAACCUCGGAACUGCCUUUGAUACUGUUGGUCUCGAGUCCGGAAGAGGUGGGUGGAAUUCCUAGUGUAGAGGUGAAAUUCGUAGAUAUUAGGAAGAACACCGGUGGCGAAGGCGGCCCACUGGUCCGGUACUGACGCUGAGGUGCGAAAGCGUGGGGAGCAAACA